Molecule: unclassified non-coding RNA, 229 nt
Filed under: plant metagenome
Description: partial contains small subunit ribosomal RNA, internal transcribed spacer 1, and 5.8S ribosomal RNA
Source: RNAcentral
UCUCCGUAGGUGAACCUGCGGAGGGAUCAUUACAGAGUUCUCGCCCUCGCGGGUAGAUCUCCCACCCACUGUUAUCGUUACUGUGUUGCUUUGGCGGGCCGCCGGGCCCCGCUCGGCCGCCGGCUCCGGCUGGCGCGCGCCCGCCAGAGGCCCAGCAAACUCUGAAUGUUAGUGUCGUCUGAGUACUAUAUGAUAGUUAAAACUUUCAACAACGGAUCUCUUGGUUCUG